AUGAAACGUCAUCCGCAGAGCUGGCUGUCUUCGCGUCCCUUGCCUCCCAUACCCCCUAGGCCAGGGCUGGGCCGCGCAGGUGAAGCCCCAAAGCAGAGAGCCUGGAACUGGCAGUUGGAGCCUGAACUGUGGGCAAAAUCGCUUCGACAGCAGCUGAAUGUCCAGCUCCUCUCUGCCCUGGAGGAGAAGAGGGCAGGUUUGUCUCUCGAGGCAGUAUCAUCGGAUUCCCUUGAGUCUUGGCACUCUGUAUGUAGCCUGGACAGCUCAAGACCUGGGCCUUGGCCCUUCCAGACGAAACAGAGGAAAGUCCUCACAGCAGCACCUGACUUAGAGCGGCCGAGGGCGCUGCAGCUACUGCUAGCUGAGCUCCAAACUCUGUUCUCCGCUGUGCUGCAGGACCGCAGCCCGGCCGCUUGGCGCUACCUGCAUGCGGUGCUGGGUCUCCUGCCUCCGUAUCGUGAGUUGCUAGUCGGGCACCUUGAUUUGCUGCCCUUCCUGGAGCAGCUGUAUUGCUGGGCUCCCUGGGUCCAAACCCAUCUCCAGCUGGACCUGCUAGAUGCCAUCGACCACGCCUUGCCCCCAGACAGCUCUUUGUCGCACAGUGCCUCCCAUGCUGACUGCCAUCCCCAGAAGAAGAGGUUCCAUCGAGGGCCACCGUGCCCACCCUGCCCUUUUGUGCAGACCCGGUGGGGUGGGCAGCAAGUAAAGCAGGAACUGGCCACGUGGCUGCGACCGCUGACACUGCCUGAGCUGCAGCACUGCCUGGGCAUUGUCGGUGCGGAGGUGGCCCUAGAAGAGGCCCAGUGGUUGGGCAGUCUCAGUCUCCUGCCCUUGGCACUGGCUACAGACAUCCCUGUGCAGUAUAAAAGCAGCGACGCUAACAGCGUAGACGAGGAGCCUGUUGGAAGCAAAGACGCUAAGUAAGUGAGUGACCCAGGCUGGGGCUUUGCACGGAGGAGACAAAAGAAGUCAGGUUAGGGAGGCUCUGGGCCCCUGGCCCUCUAAAGCCAGCUCACUAUUGAUCUUAAGGAUUAGCCUGACCCCCAAGCUGAGCUGGUAUGAGGCUGCUCAAUAGAGCUAGUGU
Molecule: long non-coding RNA, 1084 nt
Filed under: Chinchilla lanigera (long-tailed chinchilla)
Lineage: Eukaryota; Metazoa; Chordata; Mammalia; Rodentia; Chinchillidae
Description: lncRNA (ENSCLAG00000025330.1)
Source: RNAcentral